GACGAACGCUGGCGGCGUGCUUAACACAUGCAAGUCGAGCGGGGUCCAACCAGUGGCGAACACUGGGGAAGGCCUAGCGGCGAACGGGUGAGUAACACGUGAGCAACCUGCCCCGAAGUUCGGGAUAACACCGGGAAACCGGUGCUAAUACCGGGUGCCCCCAUCUGACCGCAUGAUCGGAUGAGGAAAGGCUAUGUCUAAUAAACAUGG
RNAcentral lists this ribosomal RNA (210 nucleotides) under uncultured bacterium. RNAcentral describes it as "partial 16S ribosomal RNA". It matches the Rfam family "Bacterial small subunit ribosomal RNA", at positions 28 to 214 of the family's 1533-position model. The record is from RNAcentral.